This 384-nucleotide ribosomal RNA is filed under the name Triticum aestivum (bread wheat). RNAcentral describes it as "partial small subunit ribosomal RNA". Lineage: Eukaryota; Viridiplantae; Streptophyta; Magnoliopsida; Poales; Poaceae. The record is from RNAcentral.
AUGCGGGCCCUUACCCGCUCGGAGCUACAACCCCUUAUAGAUCGGAUCGCGGCGCAACUGCCAACCUGGAAAGCGGCCCUUCUUUGCCGGGCCGGCAGGCUCACGUUGGUGAACUGCAGGCUCUCUGCGAUGCCAAUCUUCCACUUGAUGGCCCUUGACCUGCCGCCAUGGUUUUUCAAGUGCAUUGACAACCUUCGGAGAGGCUUCUUCUGGCGGGGGGUGGAGGAUGCCAAGGGGGGCUGUUGCUUCGUGGCAUGGCAAAUCGUCUGCUUGCCUAAGCCUUAUGGUGGACUGGGGGUGCUCAAUCGGAGGCUGCUCAGGCGCUGCGCCUGCGCUGGCUAUGGCUGCAGAAGACGGCGAUGGACAAGCCCUGGAACGGCUUGA